Molecule: ribosomal RNA, 476 nt
Filed under: uncultured bacterium
Lineage: Bacteria
Description: partial 16S ribosomal RNA
Rfam family: Bacterial small subunit ribosomal RNA
Source: RNAcentral
GACGAACGCUGGCGGCGUGCCUAACACAUGCAAGUCGAACGGUAAGGCUUCCUUCGGGAAGUACACGAGUGGCGAACGGGUGAGUAACACGUGGGUAACCUGCCCUUCACCGGGGGACAACCGAGGGAAACUUCGGCUAAUACCGCAUAACGUGCAGCUUCAUAAGGAGCUGUACCAAAACUCCGGUGGUGAAGGAUGGGCCCGCGGCGGUUUAGCUUGUUGGUGGGGUAACGGCCUACCAAGGCGACGAUCCGUAGCUGGUCUGAGAGGACGAUCAGCCACACUGGAACUGAGACACGGUCCAGACUCCGACGGUAGGCAGCAGUGGGGAAUCUUGCGCAAUGGGCGAAAGCCGGACGCAGCAACGCCGCGUGAGGGAAGAAGGUCUUAGGAUUGUAAACCUCUUUCAGCAGGGACGAAAUUGACGGUACCUGCAGAAGAAGCUCCGGCUAACUACGUGCCAGCAGCCGCGGUAA